RNAcentral lists this ribosomal RNA (253 nucleotides) under uncultured bacterium. RNAcentral's name for it is "partial 16S ribosomal RNA". It matches the Rfam family "Bacterial small subunit ribosomal RNA", at positions 524 to 776 of the family's 1533-position model. The record is from RNAcentral.
UACAGAGGUCUCGAGCGUUAGGCGGAAUCACUGGGCUUAAAGCGUGUGUAGGUGGAUGCCUAAGUACCUUGUGAAAUCCCACGGCUUAACCGUGGAACUGCUUGGUAUACUGGGUGUCUUGAGCCAGCUAGGGGCUACCGGAACAAAUGGUGGAGCGGUGAAAUGCGUAGAUAUCGUUUGGAACGCCAAUGGUGAAAACAGGUCGCUGGGGUUGUGCUGACGCUGAGACACGAAAGCCAGGGGAGCGAACGGG